AUUAUGAUCUGAAGACACACUUUGUAUUAUUUAAGAUUGUUAAAUUUUGUUUUGUAAACCAAGGUAUUUUCUAUCUUGCUAAAUGUUCCACCCGACUUGAAUAGAAGUCUUUUCUGCUGCAGUUGGAUAGACAGUUAGAUCACAAUUAGCUUUUGGUUCUACAUCCUUGAUGAUCUUCCAUCUCACAGUUCUAUCUACUACUAACAGAAUUCCCCAAGGAUAAUUAUGAAUUGAUCUGUUUCUCAUUUCAGUUUUGCCACUGUUCGCUCAACUCUUUCAUCUUCUUGAUGAAUUAGCCCUUUUUUAGUAUUUCAUGUCUUUCUGGUGCAUAUUUCAACUUGAUUUUUUCAUCAAGAAAAAUAGGGCUACAGCAUCAUGGAUCUUUCUAGCAGACCUAGUUAUAAUUGUGCUUUUUCUCUAACAGUAACUAUAAAGGUCUUAACUUACAAUGUUAAACAUAGCAAAGUUGAGCUUGUCACAGAGAAACCAUAGUUCAGCGAAGAACAAAGAGGUUUCUGCUUUGUCUCUUGAACUCGAUGGUCCACAUGCUCUGUUUUGAAAGGCUUCGUUUCAGUGUAUGGAUUCUGAACGGAGGAAGACUCCUCCAAGUUCUCCUCCAUCUCUGCCUCUGAGAAAACAAGGUCAGUUUCCAGCAGAGAGAGGGCACGCGCCUGUGACACAGAGGCUAAAGAAGAUGAACAGGGUAUGAGGAAACUCACGGCAGUGAGAGCUACCCAGUCUUUAAAGAUACCGUUCUCUCUCCUGUGCAGCCUUAGGUUCUGACCAGUUGGGCCAGGGAGCUUCUGACAGACUCACGGCCUGGUGAGAGGUGGCAAAUACAACAGUCUGCAGCCUGUUCCACUUAAGUCAAGACACAACAGAAGAGAUGAAAGUGCUGCUGUCUCUGAAUCUGACUCCUUUUUCUCAAUCUGCCUCUGAAGCAGGAAAUGAUGAUUCUGGAGAGCAAUGUGGAGAAGCAAGGUGUUAGGAGGGUAGAGGAAAGGACAGAAGUCCCUGAAAAUAUUUCUCUUGCUUUUUCUUAUGCAUGCCAAGUCAAUUAUGCUUCAACUAAAAUAAUAGGUAUUCACCGAAUUGACAACCACCCUGAAAUCCAUUCUCAGCAUUAAACUACCAUAGAUUAACUGCUUAAAUUUGGGCUUUAGUGUAUAGCAUCAGCAGAGCUCCUGAGUGAAUUAUGGACUUGUAUUCACUCCAGAACAAUCUAUUACCCGCCUCAUAACAGAAAUGCCAUUUAUUGCAAUUUGUGCAAACUAUAAAUCAAUACAUUAUUACUUAGAAGCAUGUGAGCUGUGGCUAGAUGGCACACUCUUGCAUUUGGUAAUGGCGUGUGUGUGUGUGUGUGUGUGUGUGUGUGUGUGUGUGUUAGAGCUUAGGGGAGGAAUAGAUAAAGAUUUUUUUCUAGUCUCCAUUUGAGCACUUGCCAAACUUCUCAGGAGACUCAAGGGUGGCUGCUGUCUCCCAUGUUGCAGAGAGGCUUAUGGUCUCCCAUGCUAUAACCUCUGCAUGGGAUUUUCUCUUGGAAGAGCUGAUUGAGUGCAAUUUAGAGGGUGUUAGAACCCUUUUGCAGCAGUCCCAACUCUGGCCCUGGAACCCCAAGAGGUAGCACAGACUUUCGGACAGCGCCGGUGCUCAUGCCAAACCUCAAGCCAUUCCAAUCAAAACUUGGGGGUGACACACAGAUGCCAGAACUUUAAAGAAGCCAUCUAGGCAAUGUUAAUGUGCAGCCUGGGUUAAUUAUCUCUGCUCUGCAAAAUAAGAAGAGGAAGAAAAGAGGAAAUGGAAAGGGAGUAUAGUGAUAGGUUGUAAUUUUCUCAAAUCAAAGUAGAAACGCAUCCUGAGGAUUUGAGAUGCAAGUAAAUCUGUGGGGUGCUGCUUAGAGUAUUUCUGGGCCCACUCUGAGAAAUACAAAAAAGAUAAUUUAACUGCAGCUGACAUAAUGUAAAUGCUUAAUAACUCCUUGCUUUUCUCCCUUAAAAAUACAGAUAACCGAUAGUGACAUGAUUUCAAUAAUAAUCACAGCGCAGCUUUUCUUGGGUCCUUCGUGCAGGGGCCCUGGCCUUUUUCCAUCAUGGUGCCCCAAGGAAGUGUACUUGGACUGCACACUGCAGCCGAGAGCCCAGGCUGCCCCGCUGUGUGAGGCUCAGGGCCUGGGGCAGGGAGCUAAUGUGGCUCCUUGUCCCUGGGAGACUGGAGAUUUUGCAAACGUUUCCAGGCCUCUCUCCACUACCGUGUGCCUCUCAAGGUGGUUUGCACUGUCCACACGGCACCAAGGUGACAGGAAGCCAACACACGGCUGUCAGCACCAUAAGACGAAGAACCUGAGAAACAAGGACAUCAGUGAUUCGCCACAUCCACACCCCUCACCAUGACUCUGCCAUCCCACGGCCCUUACAGGAUCUCUGACUACUUACUCUCCAUUUCCAGUCAUUUCUUCCUGGAUUUGCCAGGGGAAGAGACCUGCUCUAGCUUGUCAAUAUGCGGCUCCCUCCUCCUUUUCAUUCAUGAUUCAGAUCCUGUCUCCUCUUGUGACCUUUCCUGACCACCACGUUGGUUUUUCUCUGCCCUGGACCUUGGAAUCCUGUGGCAUCUGCUUUGCUGCACUGAUGUUUUCUGGAGCAUGUGGCCAUGACCAUGUCUUACGCAUCUCCAGAUCCUCAGCAUUUUCAACAGGAUCUAGGACACAGCCCAGGCCCAGCAGACAUCUGGAGAGGGAAGGAACUCAAAAUUAACUUAUGGGCGACCCCCUGGGUGAUGUUGAACACAUCACUUCAGGGCUUGCUGACUCUGGAAAACAGUCAGUGGACUGCUCACCUCCAUGGUCCUCCCAACUGGAGCCCCUCAACUCUUCUUAUUUCUGGCAGUCUGUGCCCCCAGGAGUCCUCCUGAGCACUGAGGAGUGGCCUGGGAGUGUCAAGGGAAGCCAUGGAGCAGACGGCGAGGAGAGCCGAUGCCUGCCCUGUCUUGCCUUGGGAGGACCUGUACACAGCUUUGGGGUUUGAAAGGCAGGAAGGAGAACGAAAUGAAGAACACUUUAUCUAUGCCUUUCUAAAGUAUGGGUAGUGACCAAAAAAAUUAGGCAUGAGCAGAAACCAGGUGGGGCCAAGACCACAGAAUAACAUGGUGACCAGGAGAGGAAAGGUCUGAGAGAGCUCUUAGGAAGCUCUUCUGGUGGAGCCCUGAGGAGUUCCUGUUCACGAGCAGAGAGCAGCAUUUUCUCAGUGACAGCCCUUCUGGGGAACCCUAACUGGAGUCAUAUUGAAUCAUGAACUAGAUUAGCCACAUUAAAGGGUUAGCUACAAUGUAUUUCACAGUUAAAACACAGGCUGUGGCCGUGGUAUCAAAACCUGUAAUUUCUGAUGCAAAUGAAUGGAGUGAAAAGUGGCCCCUAGCUACUGGGACAGACAGAAGAAUAUGUGAGUGAAAUAACAUGGCAGUUAUGUCAAAAUUGGAAGAAUAACUAUAUUCCAGAAUAGUAAAUUAUUAUCAUGGCCUGACUGGUAGAGUAACCCAUAAGGCAAGAGAUUGUGUUUUUUAUUUUAUUUUUUCAUACCUGGAUAAAAUUACAUUGUCAAUUUGGUUUAGUCCCUCUUUAAAACCUGAACAUUCAUUUUUGAAAAUAUGUGUGGAACAUAAGGUGACAUUUGGAAAAAAGCAUAAUUUUCUAAAAGAAUAUUGAUUCCAUUAGUUCUUAUAUUACAGAUGCCAAUGAAUUUAACUUUUAUAGUUCUGCUAACACAUGGAAGGCAUAAAAUGGACGUUCAGCUACCCUGGGUUUUCAACAGCAUUUCAGGGAAGCGCCUGAGCUUUAUAAAAUGUUUGUGGGCACGUACUGUGGCAUCAGCUUUCACAGGCACAAUCUCGGUAGACACAGAGGGAACUGGAAUCUUUAGUUCAGGUCCUAAGAUUGUUUCUUGUUGGUUGGGGGUAGCCUUAGGUAAGCUGCAUGGUUGUACUGAGCCUCACUUUUCUUAUUUUUAGGAUGGGGAUAAUGGUAGCUUCUUCCAGGGUCUAAUAAAGAUUAAAAGUGAAAAUCUGGAUAUGACAUUCAGCUUCACCCUCAUACAGACUCUAUAAAAAGGACUGUUGAUAUUAUUAUUAUUUAAUCCUUCUUAAUUAUGGUCCGCAUCUUUUGAAAUUCAUAGUUUCAGGACUGAUGCAGGGGAUAAAGCAAGUACAGUGAAUUCGGUAUUUUUGCAUAUUUAACAUGUGCCUGUAUCUGAGUUGAUUCUGUAGAUUGUAUGUGUAUAAUGAGUCAGUCCAGAAGAUAGCACUUCUUAAAAAUUUUAACCAACUAAUCUGAUGAAAAAUAUAGGUAUAUCUUGUCUUAAUUUGUAAAAAUAUCAUUUGGUAAAAUCACAUCAAAAUAUCAAAAUAAA
Non-coding RNA from Heterocephalus glaber (naked mole-rat), 4397 nucleotides. The record is from RefSeq and is a predicted model, not a curated record. NCBI's taxonomy places the organism in Eukaryota, Metazoa, Chordata, Mammalia, Rodentia, Bathyergidae.